This 490-nucleotide ribosomal RNA is filed under the name uncultured bacterium. Its description in RNAcentral is "partial 16S ribosomal RNA". It matches the Rfam family "Bacterial small subunit ribosomal RNA", at positions 30 to 507 of the family's 1533-position model. The record is from RNAcentral.
AGUGAACGCUGGCGGCAGGCCUAACACAUGCAAGUCGAACGGCAGCACAAGAGGGCUUGCUCUCUGGGUGGCGAGUGGCGGACGGGUGAGGCAUGCAUCGGAAUCUGCCCAUUUGUGGGGGAUAACCUCGGGAAACCGGGACUAAUACCGCAUACGACCUACGGGUGAAAGCAGGGGAUCUUCGGACCUUGCGCAGAUGGAUGAGCCGAUGCCGGAUUAGCUAGUGGGAGGGGUAAGGGCCCACCAAGGCGACGAUCCGUAGCUGGUCUGAGAGGAUGAUCGGCGACACUGGGAGUGAGCCACGGCCCAGGCUCCUGCGGGAGGCAGCAGUGGGGAAUAUUGGACAGUGGGGGCAAGCCUUAUCCAGCCAUGCCGCGUGUGUGAAGAAGGCGUUCGGGUUGUAAAGCACUUUUGUUGGGAAAGAAAAGCAGCCGGUUAAUACCCGGUUGUCAUGACGGUACCCAAAGAAUAAGCACCGGCUAACUUCGUG